AGCAUAAUAUUAAAACUGAAAUGUAAAGCACAAAUCUUAAGUUGAAAUGUAAAGGACAAUAUUAAAACUGAAACGCAAAGCACAAAAAACGAAGUUGAAAUGUAAAGCACAAAAUCUUAUAUUGAAAUGUAAAGAAUAAAUCUUAAGUUGAAAUGUAAAGCACAAAUCUUAAGUUGACAUGUAAAGCACAAAUCUUAAGUUCAAUAUAAAUUUAAAAUAAAAGGUUUAAAUGUAAAGGUAAUGUACUUAUUGAAAAUAUGACGUUAAUAUAUGAAGUAAAUAUGUAAAGUGAAAAUAGAAAGCACAAAUAUGAAGUGAACAUAUGAAGUAAUGUAAUGAGAUGAAUAUAUGAAAUAAUCAAAUAAAGAAUCAAUAUGAAGUGCAAAUGUGAAGUGUACAAAUCAAGUGAUACUAUAAAGUGGUAGAAUGAAAUGUAAAUCAAGUGAUACUAUAAAACGGUAGAAUGAAAUGUACAAAUCAAGUGAUACUAUAAAGUGGUAGAUUGAAAUGUAGAUCAAGUGAUACUAUAAAACGGUAGAAUGAAAUGUAAGAAUCAAGUGAUACUAUAAAGUGGUUGAAUGAAAUGUAAAUCAAGUGAUACUAUUAAAGUUGUAGAAUGAAGUGAACAAAUCAAGUGAUACUAUAAAGUGGCAGAAUGAAAUGUAAAUAAAGUGAUACUAUUAAAGUGGUAGAAUGAAGUGAACAAAUCAAGUGAUACUUUAAAGUGGUAGAAUGAAGUGAACAAUUCAAGUGAUACUAUAAAGUGGUAGAAUGAAAUGUAAAUCAAGUGAUACUAUAAAGUGGUAGAAUGAAAUGUAAAUCAAGUGAUACUAUUAAAGUGGUAGAAUGAAGUGAACCAAGUAGUAGAGUGAAGUGGAAGUAUCCAGUGGAAGCUUUGGUUCUCCCAUUCAGAAUACAAUGUUAAGACUCAGAGGGGCGAUUGUAUUUAAUCUUUACAUUGAAGUCGUUGAGAGAAACAUCAUCCUCUUCACCAUAAUCUUCACCAUAAUCUUCAGCAUAAUCUUCUCCAUCAUCUUCACUAUAAUCUUCACUAUAAUCUUCACCAUAAUCUUCACCAUAAUCUUCACGAUACGACAGAGGUGUGAAUAAGACAUGGUCCUCCUGGUCACCGGUCUCAAGAGCAAAACUAGGUCUAAAUGAAGAUUCAUCUACAGGUUGACUUUCUUGAACGCCACGGGUGAGUGGCGUACUCUGGGGCAAAACGUUGUGCAGGUAGCCCCAUUCCUCACGUUGGUGCUGCUCCAGCCAGCGGAUGUUUUCGGGUACAAUAACAGGGCGCCGGUAAUGAGG
Biomphalaria pfeifferi is the source of this 1311-nucleotide non-coding RNA. The record is from the annotation of a GenBank genome assembly. NCBI's taxonomy places the organism in Eukaryota, Metazoa, Mollusca, Gastropoda, Planorbidae.